GGAAAGUUUCGCGAAACAGGGUGAUAGCCCCGUACACGAAACGGUUAGUUGGACAUAUUAAGUAGGGCGGGGCACGUGAAACCUUGUCUGAAGAUCGGGGGACCAUCCUCGAAGGCUAAAUACUCGUUAUCGACCGAUAGUGAACCAGUACCGUGAGGGAAAGGCGAAAAGAACCCCGGAGAGGGGAGUGAAAUAGAACCUGAAACCGUGUGCAUACAAGCAGUCGGAGCGGACAUGUUCCGUGACGGCGUACCUUUUGUAUAAUGGGUCAGCGACUUUGUCUCUCGAGCAAGCUUAAGCCGGUAGGUGUAGGCGCAGCGAAAGCGAGUCUGAAUAGGGCGACGAGUUCGAGGGAUAAGACCCGAAACCGAGUGAUCUAGCCAUGUGCAGGUUGAAGGUGCGGUAACACGCACUGGAGGACCGAACCCACGUCUGUUGAAAAAGACGGGGAUGACGUGUGGCUAGGGGUGAAAGGCCAAUCAAACUCGGAGAUAGCUGGUUCUCCGCGAAAUCUAUUUAGGUAGAGCGUCUCGUAUUACCUUCGGGGGUAGAGCACUGGAUGGGCUAGGGGGUCCCAACGACUUACCAAACCUAACCAAACUCCGAAUACCGAAGAGUAGAGCGAGGCAGACACACUGCGGGUGCUAAGGUCCGUAGUGGAGAGGGAAACAGCCCUGACCGCCAGCUAAGGUCCCUAAGUUAUCACUAAGUGGGAAACGAUGUGGGAAUGCUUAGACAACCAGGAGGUUGGCUUAGAAGCAGCCAUCCUUUAAAGAAAGCGUAACAGCUCACUGGUCAAGCGUUCCUGCGCGGAAAAUGUAACGGGGCUUAAGUGAUACACCGAAGCUGCGGACUCGAAAGAGUGGUAGCGGAGCGUUCUGUAAGUCUGUGAAGGUGGCCUGCGAGGGCUGCUGGAGAUAUCAGAAGUGAGAAUGCUGACAUGAGUAGCGAUAAAGAGGGUGAGAGGCCCUCUCGCCGAAAGUCCAAGGGUUCCUGCGCAAUGCUAAUCAGCGCAGGGUAAGCCGGCCCCUAAGGCGAGGCCGAAAGGCGUAGUCGAUGGGAACCAGGUUAAUAUUCCUGGGCCAGCGGAGAGUGACGGGUAAUGAACGUUGUGCGACCUUACUGGAUUGGUCGUGCGGCCAAAGAGCCCCUGGAAAUAGCUCCCGCAUUGAGACCGUACCCCAAACCGACACAGGUGGACUGGUAGAGCAUACCAAGGCGCUUGAGAGAACU
RNAcentral lists this ribosomal RNA (1233 nucleotides) under Chattonella subsalsa. RNAcentral describes it as "partial Bacterial large subunit ribosomal RNA". It matches the Rfam family "Bacterial large subunit ribosomal RNA", at positions 344 to 1700 of the family's 2925-position model. The record is from RNAcentral. Lineage: Eukaryota; Raphidophyceae; Chattonellales; Chattonellaceae.